GACGAACGCUGGCGGCGUGCCUAACACAUGCAAGUCGAGCGAAUGAAGUUCCUUCGGGGAUGGAUUUAGCGGCGGACGGUGAGUAACACGUGGGCAACCUGCCUCAUAGAGGGGAAUAGCCUUCCGAAAGGGAGAUUAAUACCGCAUAAGAUUGUAGUAUCGCAUGAUACAGCAAUUAAAGGAGCAAUCCGCUAUGAGAUGGGCCCGCGGCGCAUUAGCUAGUUGGUGAGGUAACGGCUCACCAAGGCGACGAUGCGUAGCCGACCUGAGAGGGUGAUCGGCCACAUUGGGACUGAGACACGGCCCAGACUCCUACGGGAGGCAGCAGUGGGAAUAUUGCACAAUGGGGGAAACCCUGAUGCAGC
This 365-nucleotide ribosomal RNA is filed under the name uncultured bacterium. RNAcentral describes it as "bacterial SSU rRNA". It matches the Rfam family "Bacterial small subunit ribosomal RNA", at positions 28 to 392 of the family's 1533-position model. The record is from RNAcentral.